CCUACGGGAGGCAGCAGUGAGGAAUAUUGGACAAUGGGCGUAAGCCUGAACCAGCCAAGUCGCGUGAGGGAUGAAGGUUCUAGGGAUCGUAAACCUCGUUUAUAAGGGAAUAAAGUGCGGGACGUGUCCCUUUUUGUAUGUACCUUAUUAAUAAGGAUCGGCUAACUCCGUGCCAGCAGCCCCGGUAAUACGGAGGAUCCGAGCGUUAUCCGGAUUUAUUGGGUUUAAAGGGUGCGUAGGCGGCCUUUUAAGUCUGCGGUGAAAGUCUGUGGCUCAACCAUAGAAUUGCCGUUGAAACUGGGAGGCUUGAGUGUGUUUGAGGAAGGCGGAAUGCGUGGUGUAGCGGUGAAAUGCUUAGAUAUCACGAAGAACCCCGGUUGCGAAGGCAGCCUGCUAAGCCAUGACUGACGCUGAUGCACGAAAGCGUGGGGAUCAAACAGGAUUAGAUACCCUUGUAGUC
RNAcentral lists this ribosomal RNA (460 nucleotides) under uncultured bacterium. RNAcentral describes it as "partial 16S ribosomal RNA". It matches the Rfam family "Bacterial small subunit ribosomal RNA", at positions 338 to 795 of the family's 1533-position model. The record is from RNAcentral.